CGCGAUACAGGGUGACAGCCCCGUACACAAAAAUGCACAUGCUGUGAGCUCGAUGAGUAGGGCGGGACACGUGGUAUCCUGUCUGAAUAUGGGGGGACCAUCCUCCAAGGCUAAAUACUCCUGACUGACCGAUAGUGAACCAGUACCGUGAGGGAAAGGCGAAAAGAACCCCGGCGAGGGGAGUGAAAAAGAACCUGAAACCGUGUACGUACAAGCAGUGGGAGCACGCUUAGGCGUGUGACUGCGUACCUUUUGUAUAAUGGGUCAGCGACUUAUAUUCUGUAGCAAGGUUAACCGAAUAGGGGAGCCGAAGGGAAACCGAGUCUUAACUGGGCGUUAAGUUGCAGGGUAUAGACCCGAAACCCGGUGAUCUAGCCAUGGGCAGGUUGAAGGUUGGGUAACACUAACUGGAGGACCGAACCGACUAAUGUUGAAAAAUUAGCGGAUGACUUGUGGCUGGGGGUGAAAGGCCAAUCAAACCGGGAGAUAGCUGGUUCUCCCCGAAAGCUAUUUAGGUAGCGCCUCGUGAAUUCAUCUCCGGGGGUAGAGCACUGUUUCGGCAAGGGGGUCAUCCCGACUUACCAACCCGAUGCAAACUGCGAAUACCGGAGAAUGUUAUCACGGGAGACACACGGCGGGUGCUAACGUCCGUCGUGAAGAGGGAAACAACCCAGACCGCCAGCUAAGGUCCCAAAGUCAUGGUUAAGUGGGAAACGAUGUGGGAAGGCCCAGACAGCCAGGAUGUUGGCUUAGAAGCAGCCAUCAUUUAAAGAAAGCGUAAUAGCUCACUGGUCGAGUCGGCCUGCGCGGAAGAUGUAACGGGGCUAAACCAUG
Molecule: ribosomal RNA, 834 nt
Filed under: Escherichia coli
Lineage: Bacteria; Pseudomonadati; Pseudomonadota; Gammaproteobacteria; Enterobacterales; Enterobacteriaceae
Description: partial 23S ribosomal RNA
Rfam family: Bacterial large subunit ribosomal RNA
Source: RNAcentral